RNAcentral lists this ribosomal RNA (465 nucleotides) under uncultured bacterium. Its description in RNAcentral is "partial 16S ribosomal RNA". It matches the Rfam family "Bacterial small subunit ribosomal RNA", at positions 28 to 507 of the family's 1533-position model. The record is from RNAcentral.
GACGAACGCUGGCGGCGUGCUUAACACAUGCAAGUCGAACGGAAAGGCCCUGCUUGCAGGGUACUCGAGUGGCGAACGGGUGAGUAACACGUGGGUGAUCUGCCCUGCACUUCGGGAUAAGCCUGGGAAACUGGGUCUAAUACCGGAUAGGAGCCAUUUUUAGUGUGAUGGUUGGAAAGUUUUUUCGGUGUAGGAUGAGCUCGCGGCCUAUCAGCUUGUUGGUGGGGUAAUGGCCUACCAAGGCGGCGACGGGUAGCCGGCCUGAGGGGGUGGACGGCCACAUUUGGGCUGAGAUACGGCCCAGGCUCCUACGGGAGGCAGCAGUGGGGAAUAUUGCACAAUGGGCGCAAGCCUGAUGCAGCGACGCCGCGUGGGGGAUGACGGCCUUCGGGUUGUAAACUCCUUUCGCUAGGGACGAAGCUUUUUGUGACGGUACCUAGAUAAGAAGCACCGGCUAACUACGUG